RNAcentral lists this ribosomal RNA (1096 nucleotides) under Salmonella enterica subsp. enterica serovar Chester. RNAcentral describes it as "partial 23S ribosomal RNA". It matches the Rfam family "Bacterial large subunit ribosomal RNA", at positions 450 to 1547 of the family's 2925-position model. The record is from RNAcentral. Lineage: Bacteria; Pseudomonadati; Pseudomonadota; Gammaproteobacteria; Enterobacterales; Enterobacteriaceae.
GGACCAUCCUCCAAGGCUAAAUACUCCUGACUGACCGAUAGUGAACCAGUACCGUGAGGGAAAGGCGAAAAGAACCCCGGCGAGGGGAGUGAAAAAGAACCUGAAACCGUGUACGUACAAGCAGUGGGAGCACAGGUUUACCUGUGUGACUGCGUACCUUUUGUAUAAUGGGUCAGCGACUUAUAUUCUGUAGCAAGGUUAACCGAAUAGGGGAGCCGGAGGGAAACCGAGUCUUAAUUGGGCGUUAAGUUGCAGGGUAUAGACCCGAAACCCGGUGAUCUAGCCAUGGGCAGGUUGAAGGUUGGGUAACACUAACUGGAGGACCGAACCGACUAAUGUUGAAAAAUUAGCGGAUGACCUGUGGCUGGGGGUGAAAGGCCAAUCAAACCGGGAGAUAGCUGGUUCUCCCCGAAAGCUAUUUAGGUAGCGCCUCGUGAAUUCAUCUCCGGGGGUAGAGCACUGUUUCGGCUAGGGGGCCAUCCCGGCUUACCAACCCGAUGCAAACUGCGAAUACCGGAGAAUGUUAUCACGGGAGACACACGGCGGGUGCUAACGUCCGUCGUGAAGAGGGAAACAACCCAGACCGCCAGCUAAGGUCCCAAAGUCAUGGUUAAGUGGGAAACGAUGUGGGAAGGCCCAGACAGCCAGGAUGUUGGCUUAGAAGCAGCCAUCAUUUAAAGAAAGCGUAAUAGCUCACUGGUCGAGUCGGCCUGCGCGGAAGAUGUAACGGGGCUAAACCAUGCACCGAAGCUGCGGCAGCGACGCUGAUGCGUUGUUGGGUAGGGGAGCGUUCUGUAAGCCUGCGAAGGUGGCCUGUGAGGGUUGCUGGAGGUAUCAGAAGUGCGAAUGCUGACAUAAGUAACGAUAAAGCGGGUGAAAAGCCCGCUCGCCGGAAGACCAAGGGUUCCUGUCCAACGUUAAUCGGGGCAGGGUGAGUCGACCCCUAAGGCGAGGCCGAAAGGCGUAGUCGAUGGGAAACGGGUUAAUAUUCCCGUACUUGGUGUUACUGCGAAGGGGGGACGGAGAAGGCUAUGUUGGCCGGGCGACGGUUGUCCCGGUUUAAGCGUGUAGGUGUGUGUUCCAGGUAAAUCCGGUU